AAAGAGUUUUCUGAGUGGCUUCUCAAGGUCGGGGAAGGUCAUCUUGAAACAGGACAAGAAUAUGAGGAUGAUGGCUACCAUGACCAAUUCAUAGAUAUCGAUGAAUCUUUGAUUUGUCAGAGUAUUGUUGACCCAUUGGAAGGAGUUGUUGAUGCCGCAUAUGGGGAAAUCAACAAACCGAUGAAUUCCCAGACUUCCUAUACAGAUAAAGCUAUCCUCACACCCCGUAAUGAAACCGUCGAUGAAAUCAAUGCUUACACCAUCUCACGGACCGACGGGGUAUCAAGGGAUUACUUCAGCUCAGACAACUUUGAGUUAUCAAAUACUACAUCAGAUCAAAAUGAUACAUUAUACGCCGUUGAGUAUCUCAAUUCACUGGAAUUCUCGGGUUUGCCUUCGCACAAAAUAACUCUGAAAGUUGGUGCCCCAGUUAAAGGGUUAUGCAAUGGUACGCGAAUGAUCCUAACACAUGUUGGCGAUCGCGUUCUAAAGGCCAAAAUUAUCACUGGCUCCCACAUUGGAAAAGAGGUUUAGAUCUCAAGAAUUGUGCUUUUAUAUGAUGAAACAAAGUUACCGUUCACAUUACGUCGGCGGCAAUUUCCUAUCAGAUUGUGCUACGCAAUGACAAUCAACAAAAGCCAAGGCCAGAGUAUAAAAGAGGUCAUCUUAUAUCUGCCUAAACCGAUCUCUCAUGGUCAACUUUAUGUGGCCCUCUCACGUGUCACAAGCAAAGCAGGAUUAACGAUCAUCAAAACCAAAGAUUCCCACCAGCUGAAAGUGAAGAACAUAGUCUUCAAAGAAAUAUUCAAAGGCCUUUCUCCCGACAGAGAUUAACAAUAUCCAAUAAAAAAGGGAUUUACAAAUAAGUUUUUCCACAGCUACGCCAGGCUAUUUCUUUCUUAUGACUUAAACACAGCUUCUGAUCUGCGAAAGGCUUAAUUUGUUUCUUACAUUAUUUACCUUACUUACGACUUCUUUAAUUUUUUAAACAAUUGCGUAAACUCGAUAUUCACCAAUUUUUCAGACAUUUUAGAACAUACAAUACAAUGUUCCAUUUCAAACAAAUUAUUGAAACUUAUAAUCAAAAAUAAAUUAUCAACGUACUUUUCCGCACGUAGCGAGGAGAGAGGAUCUAGUAUAGAUAAGAAAGGAUAAUUAGGUAGCAUAAGUAUAUUCCUCUACUUAAUAUUUUCAACGAAAAUAUAAUAUUUGAAACUAAUUAAUUAAGAUCUUUCGUAUAUUUAACACCAAAAAUCGUUGAGUCUGAAAAGGGAUGAAAUAUAUCUUUUGAAAAAUAGAAUAAGUAUAUUCCUCUAUUUAAUAUUUUUUGCAGCAAUAUGAUGGUAAUUAUAUGCCUUGUGAAUCAGAGUAGGAAAAAAUAUUAAACUAAAUAAGAUCUAUCAUUUUCAGCUGAACAAAUCGUUGAGGUUGUUUUCAUUUAAUAUUUUGAGUGUGAAAAGGGAGAAAUAUUGAAUCAUUUGAGAUCAUCUCGUUACAUGUUUCAAGAUAUUAUGGAAUUAUUCCCUUAAUUCACCUGCCAAUAAUUUUUAAAUUCAAUGUCAAGUGGAGAGAUUUUGAUAUGUUUGUUUGUUUGAAAUCAUAAUAUAAAUCAUAAAAAAGAAUCAUAAUAUAAAAUUUACAAUAUGAUCUAAGAUACAUACUAAAUGAAAUGUGUUAUAUUGAUAUGAUAUUAUGUGGAAUUGAUUUCAUUUGUGGAUAUGAUACUAUUUGUAAAAUACAUACUUCAAUUACAUUUGAAAGAUCUUAUCAAAAUUAGUUUUAGGGUUCAAGAUUCAUUACAACUGGUAUUGUCUAUGUUAAAUAUGGUUUACAUUUUCUGGCUUGAGUAAAAUGAACUGGCUUCCAAAAAUACGGUGCCAAAGAGAAAAAAAGCUUAUGUUCCUUUGAUUCAAUACAUGAACUUAAAAGAACUUAUUGUUGGUUCAUUGGUUCAUGAAAUAUUGUCAAUUAUUUAGUUUAACAUAUGAAGGGAUACGUUAUAUGACACUAACGAUACUAAAUGUAAGAUGGUCGUAUAGUUAAAUUUAUAUUAUGUCAAAGUCACGAGAUGUUUCAAUAAUAAGAGAUGUAUAUAACCACAGGGUGGUGGGCUAGUGGUCUUGAGGUUGUUAACACACCAAUACGGACCCGGGUUCGAAUACCCCCUGUGGCCACGGAAUGCUUUACGCCCUCCCCAAGUUUAAAGUUAUCGCGGCGUUGGUGCCGGGUCCUUGGGUAAUGGGUAUAAGUGCCGGCUGGUUCCGGGCCAGGGGGAUUAGAUGGUUGGCAAUCGGAAACCAUGUGCGGAUUACGGGCCUUUGGGCAAACGGAAACCAUGUGCGGAUUACGGGUCACCUUUGAACCUCCUGUUAAAAAAAAUAAUAAUAAUAAUAAGAGAUGUAUAUAUUAAAUAUGGUUAUUAAUGAAUAUGUAUAUAACGUUAAUGUUGGUUUAUAAGAAAAAGGCAAAACAUGAAAUUUAAAUAUAAUAACUUUAAUAUAUUUUAUUGUUAUUUCAUUUUUUAUUAAAACAUUAAUAAGCUUUUUAACAUAAAUUUCCGUUAUACAAAAACACUUAAAUAAUAAAAAGGUAAAUAUAUAUAUAUAUAUAUAAUAGAAAUUAUAUAGAUUAUAUAUAUAAACAAUUUUUUAUUCUUUGUAUUCAUUAAAAACAUAAACAAAAAAGAAAUAUAUAUGAGCUUUAAGAUAUACUUUACAAAAUAAAUUGAAAAAUAAAAUAAUAUAGAUAUCCCUAUUCAAAAUAAUAAUUUUAUUAUAAAUAUAUUUUAUAUAAAAUGACUAAAAAUAAUUUUGACGACAUAAAAUUAUUAUAUAAUAUAUUUGUUUCAAAAACAAACAAUUAUAUUUUGUGACUAUGUUAAGGUAUUUAAAACCAAAUACAUAUAUUAAAAUGUAAGGCUAAUAAACGAGAAAAAAUAAUAUUUUUACGAUGAAUAUUAGUUUGACUAAAUGAUUAUAACUUUUAAUAAGAAAAGAGGUAUCAUAUAAUAUCAUAUUUAUAUUUAUUUUAUAACUAUUAACUUAAAACUGAAUAAAAAAUCAAAUAAUGUUAGAAUGAAAAAUUUAUUAUAUUAAAACAGAAGUCACAACUUCUCUUCAUGUGUGAUUUUUUUAAAAUGGACCUUCUCUAGAAAAUUAUAUUUCAUUUAAUUCUAAUUAACAUAAUGACAUCAUUAGGAUAUCACAUCUUAAAUAAUUGACAUAUAUAACAACUCACCUAUAAAAUUGUCUUAUUUUUUAAUUAUAAAAAUAUAUUGAGAAAAAAAAUUUACAAAAUCAUAUUAGAUAUUUUAAAUAUUAUUAUAAAAUGAAUCAUUGAUUAAUUUCGUGAUUAGUACUCUAAUAUUAUUAUAAAUUAAUGUUAGUUAAGAUUUUAUUAAAAAAUAAAAAAAUUGUAUACUAUUUUCUUCAAAUUUCUAAUUAUAGUCUAUAUUAUCUAUUAAAAUAGAAGUAAUGAAUUCUUUCAUGUAUUGUUUUAUAAUUUGGACCAUCCUUUAAUUUUUUAUUAAAUAUAUUUUAUUAAGACUAAUAAUAUAUAGAAUCUUUGAACUACGUUAAUCACAAUAUCUUUUGAUAUCUUUUCAUUUUAAAUAUAAAUAUAUAUUUUAAAAGUUCUAACAAGUCUGUUUAAAAGAUUUUAACAAAAUCUUAAUUUUCAAAAAUUAUAUGUAAAUAUUUUCAUUAAUUUCGAAAUUAGUUAUGAAAUAAUAUCAUACAUUUAUAUAUGUUAUAAUAUU
Molecule: long non-coding RNA, 3757 nt
Organism: Brassica rapa (field mustard)
Lineage: Eukaryota; Viridiplantae; Streptophyta; Magnoliopsida; Brassicales; Brassicaceae
Source: RefSeq, a predicted model, not a curated record